GGACAAGUUGGAUCUGAACUGCCUUGUCACCCAGCUGGAGGAAGAAAAGGCCAUGCUGCAGGGCCGGCAGCGGCAGGCGGAGCAGGAGGCCACAGUGGCGCCGGCAGAGCAGGAGUGGCUGGAGGAGCUGUGGUUGGAGCAGGAGGUGGCACGGCAGGGCCUGGAGGGCUCCCUAUGAGUGGCGGAGCAGGCCCAGGAGGCGCUGGAGCAACAGCUCCCCACACUGCACCAUGAGCUCAGUUGGCUGCAGGAGCAGCUAGCACAGGAGGCAGCAUGGCGGGAGCUGGAGGCCGAGCGGGCCCAGCUGCAGAGUCAGCUGCAGCGUGAGCAGGAGGAGCUGCUGGCCCGGCGGAAGGCUGAGAAGGAACAGCUGAGUGAGGAGAUUGCUGCCCUGCAGCAGGAGCAUGACGAGGGCCUCCUCCUGGCCGAGAGCGAGAAGCAGCAGGCCUUGUCUCUGAAGGAGUCUGAGAAGAUGGCGCUGUCAGAGAAGUUGAUGGGUACACGGCACAGCCUGGCCACCAUCUCCCUGGAGAUGGAGCGGCAGAAACCAGAUGCCCAGAGCCGGCAGGAGCAGGACCGGGUAGGCCUGCCGUCGUAGGGAGGCUUGCGGAGCAGGAGCGCCCUCUCUCCACCGAGCUAUCCCGCGGUUUCCAGCAUCCCAUCUGGCGGACUCCUCUUCCUCUCUCUUCUCCUACUCUGGGUCUUCUAUCCUGGUGUUCCUUGAAUGCCUAUCUUCCUUUUGUGCCUCGGAACCUCUCACGCCUGCCACAAGUUACUCUUUUCCUUGGUAGUUCUGAACUUUAAAUAAGGUAAUGCCUGUAAGAAUGCCAUAAAUGCUCAAUAAUUGUCAUCUGUUAUUAUUUUCAUCAGUAACAUCAUCUGAAUCAUCAGUAUUGUCUGCUUUUAACAGCUGCAUUUUUCAUUGUCCAAAUAUAGUCACAUACAUUUGACCAUUUUAUAAUUAUUGAAUAAUAAAUUUGUUCUGCUAUUUUACAAUGAAAAAUAAUGCUGCAGAGAGCAUUUUUGCACAUGUAUCGUGGCAGAUGUAGGCCAGAGGCUCUUCUUUUAUCCAUCCUAUGGCCAACCUAUGAAUGUAUACACGUUUAAUGAGAUUUUGCCAGCAAUCAAAGCCUUCAGGGAAAAUGUCCCUAGCUCUUUACUACAUCAGAUCAAGGACUCUGGAUAAUUGGCAUAACAUCCUGGAAUAGCUGAAACAGAGAUAUUAUUCUCUGCUCUCCUCUGUUGUCUUUGUCUUUUCACGUCUUAAUAAAAGUGCUGGUGACAAGAGUGUAACUA
This is a long non-coding RNA of Homo sapiens (human), 1296 nucleotides long. The record is from Ensembl. NCBI's taxonomy places the organism in Eukaryota, Metazoa, Chordata, Mammalia, Primates, Hominidae.